UACGGGAGGCAGCAGUGGGGAAUAUUGCACAAUGGGCGCAAGCCUGAUGCAGCCAUGCCGCGUGUAUGAAAAAGGCCUUCGGGUUGUAAAGUACUUUCAGUCGUGAGGAAGGUGUUAAGGUUAAUAACCUUAGCAAUUGACGUUAGCGACAGAAGAAGCACCGGCUAACUCCGUGCCAGCAGCCGCGGUAAUACGGAGGGUGCGAGCGUUAAUCGGAAUUACUGGGCGUAAAGGGCACGCAGGCGGUUAAUUAAGUUGGAUGUGAAAUCCCCGGGCUUAACCUGGGAAUGGCAUUCAAGACUGGUUAGCUAGAGUCUUGUAGAGGGGGUAGAAUUCCAUGUGUAGCGGUGAAAUGCGUAGAGAUGUGGAGGAAUACCGGUGGCGAAGGGCGGCCCCUGGACAAAGACUGACGCUCAUGUGCGAAAGCGUGGGGAGCAAACGAGGGAUUAGAUACC
Molecule: ribosomal RNA, 455 nt
Filed under: uncultured bacterium
Lineage: Bacteria
Description: bacterial SSU rRNA
Rfam family: Bacterial small subunit ribosomal RNA
Source: RNAcentral